ACCUAGGUGAUGAGUCCCAAAUAGGAUGAAAUGUGCAUCUUGGAU
This is a non-coding RNA of Schistosoma margrebowiei, 45 nucleotides long. The record is from Rfam. Lineage: Eukaryota; Metazoa; Platyhelminthes; Trematoda; Strigeidida; Schistosomatidae.